AGAGUUUGAUCCUGGCUCAGGAUGAACGCUGGCGGCGUGCCUAAUACAUGCAAGUCGAACGCUUUGUGGUUCAACUGAUUUGAAGAGCUUGCUCAGAUAUGACGAUGGACAUUGCAAAGAGUGGCGAACGGGUGAGUAACACGUGGGAAACCUACCUCUUAGCAGGGGAUAACAUUUGGAAACAGAUGCUAAUACCGUAUAACAAUGACAACCGCAUGGUUGUUAUUUAAAAGAUGGUUCUGCUAUCACUAAGAGAUGGUCCCGCGGUGCAUUAGCUAGUUGGUAAGGUAAUGGCUUACCAAGGCGAUGAUGCAUAGCCGAGUUGAGAGACUGAUCGGCCACAAUGGGACUGAGACACGGCCCAUACUCCUACGGGAGGCAGCAGUAGGGAAUCUUCCACAAUGGGCGAAAGCCUGAUGGAGCAACGCCGCGUGUGUGAUGAAGGGUUUCGGCUCGUAAAACACUGUUGUAAGAGAAGAAUGACAUUGAGAGUAACUGUUCAAUGUGUGACGGUAUCUUACCAGAAAGGAACGGCUAAAUACGUGCCAGCAGCCGCGGUAAUACGUAUGUUCCAAGCGUUAUCCGGAUUUAUUGGGCGUAAAGCGAGCGCAGACGGUUAUUUAAGUCUGAAGUGAAAGCCCUCAGCUCAACUGAGGAAUUGCUUUGGAAACUGGAUGACUUGAGUGCAGUAGAGGAAAGUGGAACUCCAUGUGUAGCGGUGAAAUGCGUAGAUAUAUGGAAGAACACCAGUGGCGAAGGCGGCUUUCUGGACUGUAACUGACGUUGAGGCUCGAAAGUGUGGGUAGCAAACAGGAUUAGAUACCCUGGUAGUCCACACCGUAAACGAUGA
This 850-nucleotide ribosomal RNA is filed under the name Weissella confusa. Its description in RNAcentral is "bacterial SSU rRNA". It matches the Rfam family "Bacterial small subunit ribosomal RNA", at positions 8 to 812 of the family's 1533-position model. The record is from RNAcentral. Lineage: Bacteria; Bacillati; Bacillota; Bacilli; Lactobacillales; Lactobacillaceae.